GAAACGCGAUAUUUCUUGUGAAUUGCAGAAGUGAAUCAUCAGUUUUUGAACGCACAUUGCACUUUGGGGUAUCCCCCAAAGUAUACUUGUUUGAGCGUUGUUUCUCUCUUGGAAUUGCAUUUGCUUUUCUAAAAAAUCGAAUCAAAUUCGUUUGAAACUUCAUUUAUCUCAACCUCAGAUCAAGUAGGAUUACCCGCUGAACUUAA
RNAcentral lists this unclassified non-coding RNA (206 nucleotides) under uncultured Dipodascaceae. RNAcentral's name for it is "partial contains 5.8S ribosomal RNA, internal transcribed spacer 2, and large subunit ribosomal RNA". The stretch from base 1 to 100 matches the Rfam family "5.8S ribosomal RNA", at positions 50 to 154 of the family's 154-position model. Lineage: Eukaryota; Fungi; Ascomycota; Dipodascomycetes; Dipodascales; Dipodascaceae. The record is from RNAcentral.